This 97-nucleotide ribosomal RNA is filed under the name uncultured bacterium. RNAcentral describes it as "partial 16S ribosomal RNA". The record is from RNAcentral.
CUGGGUUGGUUAAACUAGCUUUUUCGUUCAUGAAGAACACUCCGGUCGUGACCGGAGCUGACGGUAAUGCGUGAAUAAGCACCGGCUAACUCCGUGC